RNAcentral lists this ribosomal RNA (506 nucleotides) under uncultured bacterium. Its description in RNAcentral is "partial 16S ribosomal RNA". It matches the Rfam family "Bacterial small subunit ribosomal RNA", at positions 28 to 523 of the family's 1533-position model. The record is from RNAcentral.
GAUGAACGCUAGCUACAGGCUUAACACAUGCAAGUCGCGGGGCAGCAUGUCGGUUGCUUGCAACCGAUGAUGGCGACCGGCGCACGGGUGAGUAACGCGUAUCCAACCUGCCCUUCACCACGGAAUAAUCCAGUGAAAAUUGGUCUAAUACCGUAUGAGGUCAUACGAUGGCAUCAGAAUAUGACGAAAGGUUUGGCGGUGAAGGAUGGGGAUGCGUCUGAUUAGCUUGUUGGUGAGGUAACGGCUCACCAAGGCGACGAUCAGUAGGGGUUCUGAGAGGAAGGUCCCCAACAUUGUAACUGAGACACGAUCCAAACUCCUGCGGGAGGCAGCAGUGAGGAAUAUUGGUCAAUGGGCGAGAGCCUGAACCAGCCAAGUAGCGUGCAGGAAGACGGCCCUAUGGGUUGUAAACUGCUUUUAUAUGGGGAUAAAGUGAGCUACGUGUAGUUUAUUGCAGGUACCAUAUGAAUAAGGACCGGCUAAUUCCGUGCCAGCAGCCGCGGUAA